RNAcentral lists this ribosomal RNA (242 nucleotides) under Strombidinopsis acuminata. RNAcentral describes it as "partial Eukaryotic small subunit ribosomal RNA". It matches the Rfam family "Eukaryotic small subunit ribosomal RNA", at positions 151 to 390 of the family's 1831-position model. The record is from RNAcentral. Lineage: Eukaryota; Ciliophora; Spirotrichea; Choreotrichida; Strombidinopsidae.
GGUAAUUCUAGAGCUAAUACAUGCAAAAAAACCCUGACUUACGAAAGGGUGCACUUAUUAGAUAAAGCCAACGCUGGGUAAAACCAGUUUCCCUUGGUGAUUCAUAAUAAUUUAGCGGAUCGCAUGGCCUUGUGCUAGCGACAGUCCACUCGAUUUUCUGCCCUAUCAUGGUUGAGAUUGUAAGAUAGAGGCUUACAAUGCCUACAACGGGUAACGGGGAAUUAGGGUUCGAUUCCGGAGAG